GUGCCUAAUACAUGCAAGUAGAACGCUGAAGACUUUAGCUUGCUAAAGUUGGAAGAGUUGCGAACGGGUGAGUAACGCGUAGGUAACCUGCCUACUAGCGGGGGAUAACUAUUGGAAACGAUAGCUAAUACCGCAUAACAGCAUUUAACACAUGUUAGAUGCUUGAAAGGAGCAAUUGCUUCACUAGUAGAUGGACCUGCGUUGUAUUAGCUAGUUGGUGAGGUAACGGCUCACCAAGGCGACGAUACAUAGCCGACCUGAGAGGGUGAUCGGCCACACUGGGACUGAGACACGGCCCAGACUCCUACGGGAGGCAGCAGUAGGGAAUCUUCGGCAAUGGGGGCAACCCUGACCGAGCAACGCCGCGUGAGUGAAGAAGGUUUUCGGAUCGUAAAGCUCUGUUGUAAGAGAAGAACGUGUGUGAGAGUGGAAAGUUCACACAGUGACGGUAACUUACCAGAAAGGGACGGCUAACUACGUGCCAGCAGCCGCGGUAAUACGUAGGUCCCGAGCGUUGUCCGGAUUUAUUGGGCGUAAAGCGAGCGCAGGCGGUUUAAUAAGUCUGAAGUUAAAGGCAGUGGCUUAACCAUUGUUCGCUUUGGAAACUGUUAGACUUGAGUGCA
This 623-nucleotide ribosomal RNA is filed under the name Streptococcus infantarius. RNAcentral describes it as "bacterial SSU rRNA". It matches the Rfam family "Bacterial small subunit ribosomal RNA", at positions 44 to 650 of the family's 1533-position model. The record is from RNAcentral. Lineage: Bacteria; Bacillati; Bacillota; Bacilli; Lactobacillales; Streptococcaceae.